RNAcentral lists this ribosomal RNA (253 nucleotides) under uncultured bacterium. RNAcentral describes it as "partial 16S ribosomal RNA". It matches the Rfam family "Bacterial small subunit ribosomal RNA", at positions 524 to 776 of the family's 1533-position model. The record is from RNAcentral.
GACGUAGGAGGCGAGCGUUAUCCGGAUUCACUGGGCGUAAAGCGCAUGUAGGCGGACGAACAAGUCGUGUGUGUAAGCCCCCGGCUCAACCGGGGGAGGUCAUGCGAGACUGUUGGUCUGGAGGACAGCAGAGGCACGUGGAACUCCCGGUGUAGCGGUGGAAUGCGUAGAGAUCGGGAAGAACACCAGUGGCGAAGGCGACGUGCUGGGCUGUUUCUGACGCUGAGAUGCGAAAGUGUGGGGAGCAAACGGG